Molecule: long non-coding RNA, 666 nt
Organism: Malaya genurostris
Lineage: Eukaryota; Metazoa; Arthropoda; Insecta; Diptera; Culicidae
Exons: 3
Source: RefSeq, a predicted model, not a curated record
GUCAUAAUUAGGAAUGCACGAAAAUGUGCGUUUAGUGUUCUCGGUCGGUUGCAUUUGCUACUAAUUAACUGCGUUGCAAUGCUGUAUUAUUCACAAAUGUGGAUCCCUCCUAACCAACUGUCAAUGUUUCACGAAAUUCCAUCUAUUAUUGAAACACAAACUGGUUUGUUCGGUCGACAUGAAUCAUCGAAAAUGAAAAUGUUUCGCCUUAAUUGGCAAAGAUAUUCUAUCAACCGUUAUUCUCCAAAAUCAGACCACUCUGGGUGGUCGAAUACCGAACAGCGAAACAACAACAGUAAAGAACACCUCCGCUUAAAGUUUAAUGUCGAGAACCUGGAUACUUUUUUGUAGGCCAAACAACGCAUAAAACUUAUCAUUUUGUGACCCAACACAGCCAACCUCAAUCAAGCAGCCUUUCUUGGAGAUCGCCUAUCGCUCACUUAAUCCUCUCACCAGGGAUUCCAUUUGCGAUCAUGUGUUAUUCCCAUAUUUUUAUUAGCAAUUCCAAAUUCGUUCCGCUCAUCCUGGGGCAAGGUUUGGCAAAACAGCGAAAAGCACUCGCUUUAUGAUGAAGCUGUGAUUUUGAUGCUGGCAUAAAUUUCACAGCUAAUAUUAAUAACAAUACAGAUCGUUGGAGUGCGAAAUUUAUUAGCUUGCUGGAAUAAA